Molecule: long non-coding RNA, 449 nt
Organism: Megalobrama amblycephala (Wuchang bream)
Lineage: Eukaryota; Metazoa; Chordata; Actinopteri; Cypriniformes; Xenocyprididae
Exons: 3
Source: RefSeq, a predicted model, not a curated record
UUGCACUGAGAUCCGUCUCUUGUAAUCUUACAAGUGGUCAGCCGAGACGUAUCUCUGUUUACACCUGUAACAUGAGUCUUAAAUGCGUCUCCUUUGGCUUCGACGGUUGACCAGGCCGGAUUCGAGGAAGCGACUCUGGUUUUGUACCUAAAUCAUCGCUAAAUCCAAGUUUUGCCGGCCGUCAGAGAUUGACAGAAAGUUUGACCCUCAGAUGACCUCAGGUCAUAAUCUCAGUGACCUCCUGACCUCCUCAGCCAACACAAGCACAGGAAACAGAAUCUGAAAGAGGACAUUCAGAGCAACCUCAUGAAGAAACGGAUUUAAAAUGAAUCACAAGGGCUGCGUCCGAAAACUGGAAAAUGCUGCCUUCGGAGGACACAUUUCAAGGCACGUCCGAAUCCAAAGUUAGCUUCCUGUUUCCUGAGAUACCUUCAUCUGAUUGAUUUUUG